This 237-nucleotide ribosomal RNA is filed under the name uncultured bacterium. Its description in RNAcentral is "partial 16S ribosomal RNA". It matches the Rfam family "Bacterial small subunit ribosomal RNA", at positions 95 to 334 of the family's 1533-position model. The record is from RNAcentral.
CCGGCGCACGGGUGAGUAACACGUAUCCAACCUGCCGUCUACUCUUGGACAGCCUCCGAAGGAAGAUUAAUACAAGAUGGCAUCAUGAGUUCACAUGUUCACAUGAUUAAAGGUAUUCCGGUAGACGAUGGGGAUGCGUUCCAUUAGAUAGUAGGCGGGGUAACGGCCCACCUAGUCUUCGAUGGAUAGGGGUUCUGAGAGGAAGGUCCCCCACAUUGGAACUGAGACACGGUCCAA